This 938-nucleotide long non-coding RNA is filed under the name Struthio camelus australis. RNAcentral describes it as "lncRNA (ENSSCUG00000017187.1)". The record is from RNAcentral. Lineage: Eukaryota; Metazoa; Chordata; Aves; Struthioniformes; Struthionidae.
GUCACUGCGGUGGGAUGGGACGAGCACUGCUAUGGCAAAGCAACUGGGGGAGAAGGAGGAAAUCAAGCUGUUGCUGCUGCACAGCAUUUAUCUGACAGAGAGACGCUGAGGCAUCGCUGUCAGCUAACCAGUCUGAUGGUGGUAGAUCACAGGUCAGGGCUGUUGCCAGGAAGGUUGGUGACGUUAUUCAGAGGCUGCUGAUAUCCAGAGUCCAGCGAGAGGGUGCUCAUUGCCUGAAAAAUUACAUCACUUAUUUGGAGUCUAAAUACCACGUGCGGCUGAAGAGCUGCGUACCGAGGUUUGAAAACACUGUCCUUACGCUUGUUGCAAGGCGACGGUGCGCUUUUAGUCAUCCUGGGACAGGAUACUCGGUUAGGGAACGUGGCGGUGACAGUUUGCACUAGCUGAGGAUCUGCUGGCUGCGUUCGUGCUUUGCAUGCGCCGUUGGGAUCGUGUUGUAUUUGAACCGUGUUAUUUAGGAGUUUGAGCACGAGUACGUGAUGGCGGGUUGGUUGGGGGGGGGGGGGUGCUGUUCAUACUGCAUAGGAAAAGUCCGCUAAAGAAAACGUGACUACUGGUUAGUGCUUGGAUUGGUCUCCAAAACAUAGUAUUUAGCUUGCAAAGCUUUCAUUGGAAAAAAUACACCCAGCGCACACACUAAAUGAGGCGAGAUGCAGGAAGAUCAUUGUGUAGUGUAGUGUGUAGUGGGUUAGUCAAUUAGCAUGGCAAACUUGUGCUGCAGGAUGCAGUGUAUGGAAGCUGAUGCAUGGCCAUUUUGGCACGCCCCCAGUGUGACCUUCAGCAUGAAGAAAAAAAAUUAUCUGUGUCUGGACUGCUCUAAUAGUAUUGAAAAGAUGCCUUUGCUCGUCAGAGGACUAUACAGUAGACUGCUGCUGUGGGCUGAGGAGAUCCAAACCCAAGGAGAAAAAAACAUAUGA